AGGAAGCCCCGGCUAACUACGUGCCAGCAGCCGCGGUAAUACGUAGGGGGCAAGCGUUACUCGGAUUUACUGGGCGUAAAGAGAAUUAAGGCGGUCAUGUAAGUCAGUGGUGAAAUCCCUCGGCUCAACUGAGGAAUUGCCUUUGAUACUGCGUGACUUGAGGACAGGAGAGGAAGGCGGAAUUCCCGGUGUAGCGGUGGAAUGCGUAGAUAUCGGGAGGAACACCUGAGGCGAAGGCGGCUUUCUGGACUGGUCCUGACGCUGAUAUUCGAAAGCUAGGGGAGCAAACAGGAUUAGAUACCCUGGUAGUCCUAGCUGUAAACGAUGGAUACUAGAUCUUGCAUGAAUUUGCUUGGUCGAAGCUAACGCG
RNAcentral lists this ribosomal RNA (370 nucleotides) under uncultured delta proteobacterium. RNAcentral describes it as "bacterial SSU rRNA". It matches the Rfam family "Bacterial small subunit ribosomal RNA", at positions 485 to 859 of the family's 1533-position model. The record is from RNAcentral. Lineage: Bacteria; Deltaproteobacteria.